Molecule: unclassified non-coding RNA, 336 nt
Filed under: soil metagenome
Description: partial contains 5.8S ribosomal RNA, internal transcribed spacer 2, and large subunit ribosomal RNA
Rfam family: 5.8S ribosomal RNA (bases 1-120)
Source: RNAcentral
GAUGAAGAACGCAGCGAAAUGCGAUAAGUAGUGUGAAUUGCAGAAUUCAGUGAAUCAUCGAAUCUUUGAACGCACAUUGCGCCCCUUGGUAUUCCAUGGGGCAUGCCUGUUCGAGCGUCAUUUGUACCCUCCAGCCCUGCUGGGUAUUGGGCGUUUUGUUCCGCUACGCGCGUGAACUCGCCUCAAAUGCAUUGGCAGCCCGCCGUCCCGUGUGGGAGCGCAGCACAUUUUGCGCUCUCCGCUGCUGACGGUGGCAUCCACAAGUCUACCAUUUUACGCUUGACCUCGGAUCAGGUAGGGAUACCCGCUGAACUUAAGCAUAUCAAUAAGCGGAGG